AGCGAACGCUGGCGGCGUGCUUAACACAUGCAAGUCGAACGUGAAAUGUAGCAAUACAGAGUAAAGUGGCGUACGGGUGAGUAACACGUGGGUAAUCUACCAAAGAGCCUGGAAUAACCGACCGAAAGGUUGGCUAAUACUGGAUAGUUCAAAUGAAAUAUAAUGUUUCGAUUGGGAAAGGGAGCGAGCAAUCGCCUUCACUUUUUGAUGAGCCCGCGUCUGAUUAGCUAGUUGGUAGGGUAAUGGCCUACCAAGGCGACGAUCAGUAGCUGGUCUGGGAGGAUGAUCAGCCACACUGGAACUGAAACAAGGUCCAGACUCCUACGGGAGGCAGCAGUGGGGAAUCUUGCGCAAUGGACGAAAGUCUGACGCAGCCACGCCGCGUGAGUGAAGAAGGCCUUCGGGUUGUAAAGCUCUGUCGGAAGGGACAAAAACGUUUAAGGUUAAUAGCCUUAGAUCUUGAUGGUACCUUCAAAGGAAGCACCGGCUAACUUCGUGCCAGCCGCCGCCGUAA
This 514-nucleotide ribosomal RNA is filed under the name uncultured bacterium. Its description in RNAcentral is "partial 16S ribosomal RNA". It matches the Rfam family "Bacterial small subunit ribosomal RNA", at positions 29 to 523 of the family's 1533-position model. The record is from RNAcentral.